RNAcentral lists this ribosomal RNA (691 nucleotides) under uncultured bacterium. Its description in RNAcentral is "bacterial SSU rRNA". It matches the Rfam family "Bacterial small subunit ribosomal RNA", at positions 28 to 767 of the family's 1533-position model. The record is from RNAcentral.
AACGAACGCUGGCGGCAGGCUUAACACAUGCAAGUCAAACGCCCCGCAGGGAGAGGUGGUGCAGACGGGUGAGUAACGCGUGGGAAUCUACCUAGUUCUACGGAACAACAGUUGGAACGACUGCUAAUACCGUAUACGCCCUAUGGGGAAAGGAUUAUCGGAAUUAGAUGAGCCCGCGUAAGAUUAGCUAGUUGGUGGGGUAAUGGCCUACCAAGGCGACGAUCUUUAGCUGGUCUGAGAGGAUGAUCAGCCACACUGGGACUGAGACACGGCCCAGACUCCUACGGGAGGCAGCAGUGGGGAAUAUUGGACAAUGGGCGCAAGCCUGAUCCAGCCAUGCCGCGUGAGUGAUGAAGGCCUUAGGGUUGUAAAGCUCUUUCAGUGGGGAAGAUAAUGACGGUACCCACAGAAGAAGCCCCGGCUAACUUCGUGCCAGCAGCCGCGGUAAUACGAAGGGGCUAGCGUUGUUCGGAUUUACUGGGCGUAAAGCGCACGUAGGCGGUUUGUUAAGUCAGAGGUGAAAUCCCGGAGCUCAACUCCGGAACUGCCUUUGAUACUGGCAAGCUAGAGUCCGGAAGAGGUAAGUGGAACUCCUAGUGUAGAGGUGGAAUUCGUAGAUAUUAGGAAGAACACCAGUGGCGAAGGCGGCUUACUGGUCCGGAACUGACGCUGAGGUGCGAAAGCGUGGGGA